UACGGGGGGGGCAAGCGUUGUUCGGAAUUACUGGGCGUAAAGGGCUCGUAGGCGGCCAACUAAGUCAGACGUGAAAUCCCUCGGCUUAACCGGGGAACUGCGCUUGAUACUGGAUGGCUUGAGUUUGGGAGAGGGAUGCGGAAUUCCAGGUGUAGCGGUGAAAUGCGUAGAUAUCUGGAGGAACACCGGUGGCGAAGGCGGCAUCCUGGACCAAUACUGACGCUGAGGAGCGAAAGCUAGGGGAGCAAACGGG
This 253-nucleotide ribosomal RNA is filed under the name uncultured bacterium. Its description in RNAcentral is "partial 16S ribosomal RNA". It matches the Rfam family "Bacterial small subunit ribosomal RNA", at positions 524 to 776 of the family's 1533-position model. The record is from RNAcentral.